CAGCAAAAAAAGCCAAUGUGGGGGGUCUUCCCCACUCUGAGAAAAAAAAAUGGAAGCCUUAGUGCCAAAGGCGUGAAACAUGAAGUCAUCUCCAAAUAUGCCUCUCACACAGGGUACGGGAGCAGAAGAGAACCCUGUUCCUCCACUCCGGCUACAUACCCAGCAACAGGGGCACAAUUAGUUAGCAGUUGAGUACCUGAAGUGGUGUUUGGGGGUCGGUGUCUACCCAGAGGACUCCCAAGCCUAACAGACAAAAUAAGGCGCAAGAUGGCAAAGGUGAGCCCAUUUGCCGAGGACGAGUUUGUUACCCUUCAGAAAAGUGAAGUGAAAUGCUCAUUUCAGUGCCCUCUUCCUCAGGAAAGGAUGGGCAGAAGAGCAGCAGACGUUGCUCCUGUGAUCUGGAGAAGAUGAGGGAAUCCCUUGGAGAAGAAGAAACCCUUGCGAGGGGGAGAGAAACAUGGUGGAAAUCAAAGAAGUAGGAGGCCAGGACUGGAAAGGAGAUGGGAGAGGGAAGGAACAAGAGCCUGGAGGUGGGAAGGAAGACACGGUGUCCAAGGGAGAGAUGAGCACCUUGAAUCUGAUGUGGAAGCUAGGGUUAGCCAGUACAGGAAAUGCUGUGGUCCAAGUCUAAGGCAGGAAGGCACCCUUCAACUGCUCCCAGUGGAGCUGGCUAAGCAAUGGGAAGGAAGGAGCAGGGGAAUGUCAAAGUUGGACUGAGAGGAGUGCAGAGAAGGCUCCGAAGCAGGCAGAGAAACUGAGUCAUCCAUUAGCCUAGAGAGGAGACCUCCUCACCUCGUAGCCCUACCCAUCUCCUGGGGAAAACUGGAAGUCUGAGCCUGUCCCUGAUCAGAUUCCCUUCCAGUUUCAUCAUCACCCUCAGCCAUCACAUUGGGUUUUUUUUUAAAAAAAGGUUAAAAAAAAGUCUGCUCAUCUCAGGUGUGUGUUUUCCCAGCCCAAAGGUGUGGCCAUCUUUACUUAUCAUUUCUCAAAAAUGUGAAUGAUCUCUCUUCCUGUUUCCUUGGCUUCUGUGCUAAUAAACUGGUUUUCCUCUAA
Long non-coding RNA from Monodelphis domestica (gray short-tailed opossum), 1053 nucleotides. RefSeq lists it as uncharacterized. The record is from RefSeq and is a predicted model, not a curated record. Lineage: Eukaryota; Metazoa; Chordata; Mammalia; Didelphimorphia; Didelphidae.